UUGACCUCGGAUCAGGUAGGGUUACCCGCUGAACUUAAGCAUAUCAAUGAGCGGAGGAAAAGAAACCAACCGGGAUUGCCUCAGUAACGGCGAGUGAAGCGGCAAGAGCUCAAAUUUGAAAUCUGGCCCCUUUGGGGUCCGAGUUGUAAUUUGGAGAGGAUGCUUCGGGCGUGGCCCCCGUCUAAGUGCCCUGGAACGGGCCGUCAUAGAGGGUGAGAAUCCCGUCUGGGAUGGGUGGCCUCGCCCGUGUGAAGCUCCUUCGACGAGUCGAGUUGUUUGGGAAUGCAGCUCUAAGCGGGUGGUAAAUUUCAUCUAAAGCUAAAUAUUGGCCGGAGACCGAUAGCGCACAAGUAGAGUGAUCGAAAGAUGAAAAGCACUUUGAAAAGAGAGUUAAAUAGCACGUGAAAUUGUUGAAAGGGAAGCGUUGGCCACCAGACUCGCCCGGGGGGGCUCAGCCGGCACUCGUGCCGGUGCACUCCCCCCCUGGCGGGCCAGCGUCGGUUUGGGCGGUCGGUCAAAGGCCCUGGGAAUGUAACACCCUCCGGGGUGCCUUAUAGCCCAGGGUGCCAUGCGACCUGCCCGGACCGAGGAACGCGCUCCGGCUCGGACGCUGGCGUAAUGGUGGUCAACGGCC
This 634-nucleotide ribosomal RNA is filed under the name Talaromyces resedanus. RNAcentral describes it as "eukaryotic LSU rRNA". It matches the Rfam family "Eukaryotic large subunit ribosomal RNA", at positions 1 to 649 of the family's 3401-position model. The record is from RNAcentral. Lineage: Eukaryota; Fungi; Ascomycota; Eurotiomycetes; Eurotiales; Trichocomaceae.